CCAAAGUCAUCGAAAUGAGAUUACUUAUGGCAACAGCAAUACGGGUAGGGGUGUGCUCACAAUAGCUCCUGAGGUAGUCGUAGUCUUUGCUUACGCAGAAGUUCCGGCACUUGCGCUUGUCAUAAUCAUGCACCGGUCUCUUGCAUUCCCACAUAGAUUCACAGUAUGUGUCAGGAUCCGUGUCUGCUUGCGCACGCACACACGCACAAAAUGGAUGAAUAAUUACUGCGUGUGUGUUACAUGUGAAAGAAAGAAUGGAAGAAUGAAGCAUCACGUAUUAAGAAAUACUACUCUACAUACCCUUGGCGAUGCAGGAGAGGGAGACCGACAUGACGAGAAGAGACUGCCAAGCACAGAAACUGUGUGUUGUUCGUGGCAUGUGCCAAUGACUAGCUAGCUAAUUCAUCCUCUUCUUCUAGACGGUAUUUGUCUUUUUGGUCGAUGGAUGCUUUGUGUGUUUAAUUCAGUUUUUCUUGUUAUUUUCUUUCCGUUCUUUCAAAGUGUGAAAUUCUUUUCAAAAUCGAUGUAUUUUUUAUUUUUGCGCUUUUUAAAAACAUAUCUCCAUAAAAUUUUAUGAGCUUUUUUGUAAAUUUGUGAACUUUUUUAAACAAAGAACUUCUUGAAAUUUGAUAAACUUUAUUGAAAAUUCAGUGCAUUUUUUAAUUCACGGUUUUUUUUUACAAAAAGACGUUUUAAAUUUUUUGAAGUCAAUGGUUGCCCGGUCAACCGUGACCAGUCAGCAGUGAACACAACGACCAGUCGAUAACCGAAGCGACCUGACGGAGUCAGCGAGUGUGUGUUUGGGUCAGGCCCAAGAGUGUGGCUGUGUGCGCCACCUCGGCGAAGGGGCGCCAGAAGCGUCGUCUAGGAGCUCCCGCGCCCUUUGGCUGCUGCCCUCUCUUUCUUAGUUUAAGUACAGGCCAAAACUUUAGGCUUUGGUCUGGGAUUUUCUGUCGCGAUUCUAUCAUCCACGGCCCAGCAAGCCCAGGCUACUUCUGGUGCUUUCUUCUUCUUUCCUGCUCUGCACUGAGUCAUGGUGGUUGUGAUAGAAACUACUCUUUUUUAGGGGUCAUCUUUAUUCCACGAACAAUCAUGAUGAAAUGUUUUGGUUAUUACAGUGGGAUGAGACCAACACACACACACACACACACACAAACAGCUAUAGCUUUCUAAGUAGCACAUAACAAACAUCAUCAUCCAGAUAUCACCUCAAAGUCAUCGAAUUGAGAUUACUUAUGGCACUCUGUUUUGCUCCGUUUGCGAGCUGUAAGACCUUUAUGAUGAUACUUUCUGGAUUUUUAAUAAAAGGGCCGCAUGCAUCAUCAUGAUGCAGAGGUCGGGGGUAUACCUCCAUUUCCAAAAAAAACAACAAUACGGGUAGGGGUGGUGCUCACAAUAGCUCCUGAGGUAGUCGUAGCCUUUGCUUACACAUAAGUUUCGGCACUUGUGCUGGUCAUAACCAUGCACCGGUCUCUUGCAUUCCCACAUAGAUUCAUGGUAUACUAGAUCGGUAACGCGCCGUGGCGCGAGGGUGCCGGUCCUAGUGUUGUGGUUAUGCAGGUAAUGCUCAAGUUAGUACUAAUCCAGGUUUAUCAUACUUACUCACACAUGAUAUAACAAAAUAAAUGUAAGAAGAAACAUUCACAUGUGAUAGAAGCAAGACAUUAUGGAGUUCAACAUCACCAUGAGAUUAUCAUAAGGCAGCAUCGAUUUUAGUACUAUUUAUGUACACAUCAUUAUUGAAGAUCAAGAAAUCUUAUCAUUUCAUUAGAAAUGAUAGCUAUUUUCUAUAUAUAUGGUACAGGCAGUUUCACACUCAAGGUAAUCUUCAAAAUAGAAAGAAUGUAAGAUAACAUACAUUCUUUCUUCUUGCCAGAACCCUUCACUUUCGCAGCACGCUCUUCAACUGCCGCCUUCUCCGGUUAGGUUUCCUCUCCAAAAAGGUCAACAUUGUUGUCAUCCAAUCAGAAGUUAUUUUCUCAUGUUUCUGCAAUCCAAUCUCCGACAAUACAUAGUAUAAAACCCAUUAGUUGAAACAUCAAAUGAAUAUUAGAAGCUCAAAUGCAGCCCGCUAAUUUUUAAUGGCAAUGAACAGAAGAAAAAAUCAAGAUGAUGUCACUUGUGCCAUUGUGCAUCAUUGGCCGUUGAAUGCCAGCUGAUAAUACUGUCAGUGGCGCCUCAGGUCGCUGAUUGCGAAAUCGGUCCUAUUUUUAAUGAUAGGAGAGGAGGGUGACAGAAUGGCUGGGAACCUGUAAGAAAAGCCAUCAAAGACAAAUCUUAUGAUCCUCAUAAAGCAUUACUAAUAAGGAAAAUCCAUCAGAAAAAAUAGUACCAAGCUCCUCUUAAAUUUGAAGAGAUAUUCUAGCAAAGCAAAGAGAGACAUUAUAGCUAUAAUUAGUGUUCUGAAGCAUGUAUUCUGGAGUAUUUGGAAGAGAUCAUUUUAUUCCCUUUUACCUUCUACAUUACAUCAAUAAUUAGUAUUCUGAAGGGGAUAACUAAAAGCAAUUGCGUCUAUUGGUAGCUCUUAUGAUUAUAGGAAAGGACAUAAGGGGAGAUCCCAAAGUGGGCAUCGAUUGUGUACCGGCAUGUAAUUGCAGCAAUAGAGUGCUCGGCUAUUGGUGAUGGCUUUUUUAAACAUCCUCAGCGGUUACCUGAAUAAGCAAAGGAGAAUACUAAAGAAAGGAUACAAUUUAUUAAGGACAAAAAUGAAUAAUAACAGGCCGGCAAAAGAGCCUAGGAGGAAAGCAAAUUAUGGAUGUCAUUCUUUCCCAGCUAUAUUUGGGUCAUGAAAAAGGAAGAUACAGUGUAUGAAGAUACAAAAGGACAAAAAAUUAUGGCAUGUCAUGCUUUCUCAGCUACUAUAUAUGUGUAGUAUAUUCUUGCCGAAGCUUGAGGAGGAGGAGAAAAGCACCUGCUGGAUGCAGUUCGAGCCUGACCAUGAACGAUGCUUCAAUUAUAGGUGGCACGACUUGCCGCGCGUUGCCCGCCAGACACCACCAGACAUGAAUAACUAUUUUGAAAGAUUGUUGAGCUACACAGGCACAUACACAAGCUAUUUGAUCACACUUGGAAUUGUCUCAGCUCAUAAGCUAUAGAUAGACAGGAAGCAAAGCACAAAGCUACACAUAUACAUUGGAAUUGGAUUAACCACAGUAAGAAAAUGUAUGUGUGUAUACAUGGUAUCGUACAGCUUACACAACUUCAUGCUUUGUAGUACAAUACAACCACAGAAGCAGGUUGUAUGAAUAAAAGUGAAUGCGGCUAGAAUGGAGAGAGAUGGUUGCAGUUGGAAGAAAGUUGAUAACAUGGCAGUCAAACUUAUAAGCUCAGUUUAUUUUUCACAGUCAAAUUUAUAGGCUCAGCCUAUUUGUCAGGCGUCAAACUACUUUGUAUGGUUAAGGCGGGAUCUAAAUGAGAAAGAAAGUGAGGCAAAACCACAUGAUUUCCACUAACCAAUAAUCUAAGCACUUCCGUAAUUACACUAAGCAAUAAAAGGUGGACCAUCACUUAGUCAGAGAAGCCAUGAAGAAGGGUUGGGUUGAAACUUGAUGCUUAACUCCUAGGUGAUUCAUGAUUGGAAUUUGGAAGGAUACUUAAAAACCUUCAAAUAUGAUCCAGUUUGAGAACAGGUGUGCAGAUGUCCUGUUUUGUUUCACAUAAAUAGUUUAGUAGUACAGCAUAGAGAAAAAGCACAUAUACAUUUAGAAUUGCUAGUGAAUAUAAGAAGUAUGAGCAUUGUUUGAGAUUGUUAAUCCAAAGUUUUACAAACAAAAAUUCAAGAACUAAUGGAUGUUUGUGUGGCUUAACCUUAGUUGGACUUGAAAGCAUAAGACUGGUGUAGCAAAAUAUCAUAUACCUAGAUGUCCAUACAGCUGGCGCCAUCAAGGUCUAGUUGUGGAAGGUCUUGCGACGGCAGCUGAUUCGAAGUUAGUUAGGUAGCACAGCAGGGCCAAACCGAUCUACCAUGGGAAACGCUGAAAGAAAUUAGGCAUUCCCUGUAAAUUAUUGAUCAUAUAAAGCAAGGCAUUUGACUGCCCGGGACAUGAUGCAUAUGAAACACUAUGGUGAUGUACGUUUUUGCAGCCGAUCAUAGAUGUGACGCCCCGAUUCAAUCAUACACUAAUCAUGCACGCAAACGUGUACGAUCAAGAUCAGGAACUCACGGGAAGAUAUCACAACACAACUCUACAACAUAAAUAAGUCAUACAAGCAUCAUAAUACAAGCCAGGGGCCUCGAGGGCUCGAAUACAAGUGCUCGAUCAUAGACGAGUCAGCGGAAGCAACAAUAUCUGAGUACAGACAUGCCUUAAGAAGGCUAGCACAAACUGGGAUACAGAUCGAACGAGGCGCAGGCCUCCUACCUGGGAUCCUCCUAACUACUCCUGGUCGUCGUCAGCGGGCUGCACGUAGUAGUAGGCACCUCCAGUGUCGUAGGAGUCGUCGUCGACGGUGCGUCUAGCUCCUGGACUCCAGCAUCUGGUUGCGACAACCAGGUAGAAAGGAAAGGGGGAAAGGAGGGAGAGAAGCAACCGUGAGUACUCAUCCAAAGUACACGCAAGCAAGGAGCUACACUACAUAUGCAUGGGUAUAUGUGUAAAGGACUAUAUCAGUGGAUUGAACUGCAUAAUACCAGAAUAAGUGGGGAUAGCUAGUCAUGUCGAAGACUACGCUUCUGACAGCCUCCAUCUUGCAGCAUGUAGAAGAGAGUAGAUUGAAGUCCUCCAAGUAGCAUCGCAUAGCAUAAUCCUACCCGGCGAUCCCCUCCUCGUCGCCCUGUUAGAGAGCGAUCACCGGCUUGUAGGCACUUGGAAGGGUGUGUUUUAUUGAGUAUCCGGUUCUAGUUGUCAUAAGGUCAAGGUACAACUCCGGGUCGUCCUUUUACCAAGGGACACGGCUAUUCGAAUAGAUAAACUUCCCUGCAGGGGUGCACCACAUAACCCAACACGCUCGAUCCAAUUUGGCCGGACACACUUUUCUGGGUCAUGCCCGGCCGCGGAAGAUCAACACGUCGCAGCCCCACCUAGGCACAACAGAGAGGUCAGCACGCCGGUCUAAAUCCUAUGCGCGCAGGGGUCUGGGCCCAUCGCCCAUUGCACACCUGCACGUUGCGUACGCGGCCGGAAGCAGACCUAGCCUAGUGGCGUUCUAGUCCAAUCCGGCGUGCGCCGCUCAGUCGCUGACGUCACGAAGGCUUCGGCUGAUACCACGACGUCGAGUGCCCAUAACUGUUCCCGCGUAGUUGGUUAGUGCGUAUAGACCAAAUGGCCAGACUCAGAUCAAAUACCAAGAACUCGUUCAGCGUGUUAUUCUGAAGUAACCGCGGACGCCGUCCAGGGCCAGGCCCACCUCUCGCCUAGGUGGUCUCAACCUGCCCUGUCAGUCCGCCACAAAGAUCCACUUGCGGGUACUCCUACGAGCCGACCCGACUUUAGUCACCACAGGUGUCAUGUAUAGAGUAUAUAAGUAUAUACCCGUGAUCACCGCCCAAGUGAUCACGGCCCGAUAGUAUAGCACAACAGACGGACAAGAAUGUAGGGCCACUAAUGGAAAACUAGCAUCCUAUACUAAGCAUGUAGGAUUGCAGGUAAAGGUAACAACAGUAGUAGCAAGGAUAGGCUAUGCAUCAGGAUAGGAUUAACGGAAAGCAGUAACAUGCUACACUAAUCUAAUGCAAGCAGUAUAGAGAAGAAUAGGCGAUAUCUGGUGAUCAAGGGGGGGGGCUUGCCUGAUUGCUCUGGCAAGAAGGAGGGGUCGUCAACAGCAUAGUCGGUCGGGGCACCAGACGCGGCGUCGGUCUCGUAGUCUACCGGAGAGAAGAGGGGGAAGAAACAAUGAAUACAAUGCAAACAGAUGCAUGAUGAUGCAUGGCAUGACAAAGUGUGAUGCUAUGUGUGCCCUGGCGCGGCAAUAGGUGAUACCGGUGAAGAGGGGGAACAUCCGGGAAAGUAUUCCCGAUGUUUCGCGUUUUCGGACAGAUGGACCGGAGGUGAAAUGUUGCAGGUGCACUAUAAUAGGGACGUGUGGUGAACGAAUGGGCUGCGUAUCCGGAUUCGUCUCGUCGUUCUGAGCAACUUUCAUGUAGAAAGUAUUUUCAUCCGAGUUACGGAUUAUUUUAUAUGAUUUUUCAAAGAUUAAACCAUUUCUGGAAUUAUUUUUAUUAAUAGAAAUCUAUUAAUUCGUCAGCAAUGCAUCAGCAUGACGUCAGCAGUCAGCUGACCUGUUUGACCCGUCAAACUGACCAGUGGGUCCUGCCUGUCAUAGACAGUGGACUAACAGAAGUUUAAAUUAACUAAAUUUAGGUUAGUUAACUACUGGACCCCACCUGUCAGUGCCUCAUUUAUCUAACUAAUUGAUUUUAAUUAUAAAAUGUUUUAGGUAAAAUAAUUAUGCGGUGGGCCCGCAUGUCAGCGCCACUGGGCUGCCCAAUCAGCACAUUGACUGGGUCAACCCAGUCAACGGGGCCCAUGGGGCCCGCUGGCAGCGACCCAGGGGGUGGCCCCACGUCGGCCACGUCGGACGCCGGCGUCGGAGUUGGCUCCGGUGAGCCAAAACGCAGCGGAGGGCGCCGGCGAGCCUCGGGAUUUCGCCUCGGUGGGUCGUUUCGUGCGCGGCUACCCGCGUUCGAACAGGCGCACGCUUGCGCGUCGAACUGUGGGGGUGGCUUGGCCGGAAACGGCCAAAGACGGCGGUGGCGAGCGGCGGAGCGGACACCGGAGUUCGGGCGUCGACGGAUCUAGAGCUAGGGGGUACGGGAACCACGGGCUCGUGCUCAUUGGGCUCCUGGGAGCACCAGGAACUCCACCGUGGGCUUGCGCGAGCGUGACGGCGGCUGUGGCCACGGCGGCGAGGCGAUCCGCGGCGACGGGCUCACGGCAACGACGACAAGGUAGCUACGGGGCCGAAGAGGUCAAUGAAGAGGAGCAAGGGAUGAAGAAGCUCACUGCACGGCUCACACGAUGGCCCGUGACGGUUUAGGAGCGCAGAGGUGGCCGGAGACGACGGCGGUCAUCGGCGACAGAGAAGAUGGGGACGAGCUCGAUCCCGACCGUGUGGUGCUCCUCCAGCUCGAUGGCGAGGCGUAGACGAGGUAGAGGAUGACGGCGGACGCCUACGGCAUGUCGGGGGUGCAGGGCGAUGACGGUGGCCGCGGGAACGACGGAGAACGGCGGCGAUGGCGCUCGGGUGAGGCGGGCGAGCGAGACAGAGAGGGGGCGAAGCGUGUGGAUCUGGGAGGCGCACAGGCGAGCGAGAGGGGGCGCAAGUGGGAGAGAUGGGUGGAGGCCGAGGCGUCGGGGCGGCCUUAUCCCCUCCCGGUGUCGGCGCUGGCGAGGUGGUCGGGCGGGGACGUGCCCCUGUUGCGACCCCGGUCGGGGGAACAGGGGGGAACGCGACCCAGGAAGGGGCUGGGCCGGCGGUAGGCCAGCUGGGCCAGGUGGGCCGGUCUGGCCUGCGAGCAAGGGCCGCCUGGUCCAGUGAGGGAGGGGGAUCUUUUUCUUUUCUUUUCUUUAUUUUUCUUUUCUGUUUUAUUUCACUUUAAAAUACUUAGGCACUUUCUAAAAAAAUGUUUUCUCCACAAUAAUUACCAGUGCAAUAUUUGGCACCCACCGAACAUUUUUGUUUUGACUUUUGAAAACUUUGGGUGUUUAUCACUAAUUCAUUUUUUUGAAUUUGAAAUGUUUUGAACUAACAGUUGAUUAGCAACAAUAACAGAGAUGACAUGGCAUCAUCAGGAGAGUUUUACUGUAGCCUAAUUAUCCGGGUGUUACAAAUCUCCUCCACUACAAGAAAUCUCGUCCCGAGAUUUAGGAGGUAGAAGGAAACAGUGCGGGGUAUUCAUCACGCAGGCGAUCCUCGCGUUCCCAAGUGGCUUCAUCCUCAGAAUGGUGUGACACUGGACUUUGAGGAACUUGAUCGCCUUCUGACGUGUGCGGUGUUCAGCUUGGUCGAGAAUGCAGACCGGAUGCUCUUUAUAGGAGAGGUCCUGCUGCAAUUCGAGCACUUCAUGAUCCACUGCUCGGAUUGGUUCCUUGAAGCAACGGCGGAGCUGUGACACAUGGAACACAUCGUGAACCUGAGAAAGGUUCGGCGGUAGCUCCAGUUGGUAUGCCACUUUUCCAUGCCUUUCCAGAAUAGUGAAUGGGCCAAUAUAGCAAGGAGCUAGUUUGCCCUUGAUCCCGAAGCGGUGAGCACCCUUCAUUGGUGUGACUCGAAGAUAAGCCUUUUCGCCAGGUUGAUAGACCAUGUCUUUAUGAUGACGGUCAUACUGACUCUUCUGACGCGACUGCGCAGUCUUGAGAUUCUCAUGAAUAAUGCGGACUUGUUCUUCGGCGUGUUGGAUAAUAUCCGGACCAAAGAGUGGACGUUCCCCAGUUUCUCACCAGCUCAGAGGGGUUCGUCACUUUCGUCCAUAUAACACUUCGAAGGGGGCCAUCUUCAGACUAGCUUGAUAGCUAUUAUUAUAAGAGAACUCGGCAUACGGGAUAGAUUCCUCCCAUUUCUUGCCGAAGGAAAUAACACAAGCUCGAAGCAUGUCUUCGAGAACUUGGUUGACGCGUUCAACGUGCCCUUGCGACUGAGGAUGAAACGCAGUACUGAAUGACAGAUGAGUUCCCAUAGCUUCUUGGAAACUUGCCUAGAAUCUUGAAGUGAAUAAGAUGCCACGGUCUGAACUGAUUACCAAUGGAAUACCGUGAAGUGAGACAAUUCUGGACAUGUAGAGAGUUGCCAGCUGACUAGCAGUGAUCGUUUCUUUGACCGCCUGGAAAGCCGGUCAAUGACGACAAGAAUAGCAUCAUUACCCUUCUCUGAUUUGGGAAAUCCAGUGACGAAGUCCAUCUCGACAUGGUCCCAUUUCCAUUCAGGAAUAGAGAUAGGUUGCAGAGUUCCAGCAGGCCUUUGGUGUUCUGCUUUGAUACGACGGCAAACGUCACACUCAGCAACAUAACGAGCAAUGUCUUGCUUCAUAUUCGACCACCAGAAUCUCUGACGGAUGUCUUGGUACAUCUUUGUACUACCAGGAUGGAUACAUAGAGGCGUAUCAUGAGCUUCUUUCAUAACUUCCUGUGUCAUAUCCAGGUUUUUCUCUGCAGAUGGCACCACUAGGCGGCCCUUGAAGUACAAAGUGCCAUCAUCAGCAAUAGUGAAGAAUGAGGGCUUUCCUUCUGCGAGGUAGCGCUUAAUCUUGUGGGCUUCAGAGUCAUAUCCCUGUAUUCUCUUGAUGGAGUCCAAGAGAUCUGGUUCGACAGCCAGGGUAUUGAGCGAACCCUGGGAAACAACCCAGAGGUUCAUCUUGCGAAACUCCUUAGGAGGGGGAGCGAGUGCACCCGGAGGAACAAUAUGGAGGUUCAGCUUUCUGAAUUCUUCAACAAGCGAGGGCUGAACUUUGUGAACCUGGAGGUGGUUGCAGUAAGACUUGCGGCUCAAGGCAUCAGCCAUUACAUUAGCCUUUCCUGGCGUAUAGGAAAUACCCAAGUCAAAGUCUGCAACAAUCUCCAUCCAUCUCUGCUGACGGAGGUUCAUGUCUCGCUGAGUAAACAGAUACUUCAGACUUUGGUGGUCAGUGAAGAUCUCGCAACGAUUACCGAGAAGGUAAUGUCGCCACUGCUUCAGCGCAUGAAUGACAGCAGCAAGUUCAAGGUCGUGAACUGGGUAGUUCUCUUCGUGAGGGCGCAAUUGCCGAGAGGCAUAAGCAAUCACUUUGCGGUCUUGCAUUAGGACACAGCCUAAUCCUUGACGGGAAGCGUCGCAGUAAAUGACGAAGUCCUUCUUAGUAUCAGGUGGAGCUAGAACUGGGGCAGAAGUCAACUUGUCUUUGAGUGCCUGGAAACUUUCCUGACAUUUGUCUGUCCAUUGGAACUUGACGCCCUUAUGCAACAAGUUAGUCAGAGGCCUGGCGAUCUUGGAGAAGUUCUCGAUGAAUCGAUGGCAAUAGCUGGCGAGACCGAGAAAACUUCUGACUUGCUUAACGUUCUUGGGAGGAGUCCAAUCAAGGAUAGCCUGGACUCGUUCAGGGUUGACGGCAAUACCAUCCUUAGAGAUGACAUUCCCAAGAUAGGUUACUUCAGGUAGACAGAAUUCACAUUUGGAGAACUUGGCAUAUAGUUGAUGCUCUCGUAGCUUUUCCAGCACAAGCCGAAGAUGUUCAGCAUGUUCCUCUUCGUUCUUGGAAAAUACCAGGAUAUCAUCCAGAUAAACCACGACGAACUUGUUGAGGUAAUCCAUGAAUAUAUAGUUCAUCAAACGAGAGAAGGUGGCUGGAGCAUUGGUUAAACCGAAAGACAUGACGGUGUACUCGUAUGAACCAUAUCGAGUCACGAAGGUGGUCUUUGGGAUAUCCUCUUCGCGAACACGGAUCUGGUGGUAACCCAACCUCAAGUUGAGCUUAGAGAACACCGAUGAACCCGCCAGUUCAUCAUAUAGAUCAUUGAUCCGAGGAAGAGGGUAUUUAUUCUGAAUGGUAGCUUGGUUUAUAGGACGGUAGUCUUGAACUAAUCGGUUUGUCCCAUCCUUCUUCUUGACAAAGAGAGAAGGUGCUCCCCAAGGAGAGCAACUUGGGCAAAUGAAUCCUUUGCGAACAGAUUUGUCGAUUUCCUCCUUAAGCUCAAGGAGUUCAUGCGGCGGCAUCUUGUAGGGUCGCUUGGCUAUAGGAGUGGUGCCUGGUUUCAAGUCGAUGAUGAAUUCGACAGCUCUAGCAGGGGGAAUCCCUGGAAGUUCUUCAGGAAAGACAUCGAGGAAUUCAUGCACGACGGGAAUGUUUUCAAUGCCCUCGAGUGGUGCAGCGUUCAAUGCAUUCACUGCAUAGAGCCAGGCCUCGGCAUUUUGCACCAGAUGAACUUGGUAAGUAACUAUUUCAUCUGAAGGGUGAAGUAGAUGGACGGUCUUAGUGGCCCAAACUAUAGAAGCAGUAUGCGCUUUCAACCAAUCCAUCCCCAAAAUGAGGUCGAUGUUAGACAACUUCAGGAUAAUGGGAGAGGCAUAGAAUUCCAGCCCUUCGAUUUCCACGGGGACGUCGAUGCCAACCAGGGAGGUUUGACACUGUCCCACGGGGGUUUUGACCACUACCGAGGCGUUCAUCUCCUCACAUUUAACGUCGUGCUUGUAUGCAAAAUCUUCUGACAUGAAUGAAUGCGAUGCACCUGUAUCAAAUAAAACAGAUGCUGGUACUGAAUUUACGAGGAGUGUACCCAUCACAGUAGCAGGCUGGUCUUGAGCUUCAUUGAGAUCAACGUGGUUGGCAUGAACACGGCCAUAAUACUUGGCCUUGUUGCUGCGGGGCUGGUUGCUUCCAUGGCCAGUUGCUGGAAGGGCCAGUUGAUUCUGGUACUGGUUGCAUUCUCUAGCACGGUGUCCUGGUUGACCACACCUGAAGUACAGGCCAUUAUUGGGAGUGGGAACAGGAGCUUGGGGUGGUGGAGCUGGAAGUCUUGGCUGCCUAAAUGGUGGUGGAGGCAGACGAGGUGCAGCAUAGGUCUGCCUUGGGGCAGAUGCAUUUGGACGGUACAUGCUGUUCGGGAUCCAUAUCUUACGCUUCUGUGAGGGCGGGCCCGAAGAUGAGCCCGUGUCAAGGUUGCGCCUGUGAGAGCUCUGGUAUUCCUGCAGACCAAUUUCGACAUUGAUGGCCUUGUUCACCAAGGUGGCGAAAUCAGCAAAGUCAUGCACUAGAAGUGCGAGCUUGAUGUCAGCUUGAAGGCCAUCACGGAACUUCUCCUGUCUGCGUGCAUCAGUUGCAAUGUCCUCUUCAGCAUAGCGAGACAAGUCUAGAAACUCCCGCUGAUAAGCUUCAACAGUUUUGUUGCCUUGGGUGAGGUUGCGGAACUCACGCUUCUUCCGGUCCAUGACUCCCUGAGGAAUGAAGCGGGCACGGAAAGCAGCUUGGAAGUCUGGCCAGGUGAUGAUUGUUCCAGCUGGCAGAGUACGCCUGUGGCUGUCCCACCAUUGAGCUGCGGGUCCCUUCAGGAAGAAGGAAGCAAAGGUGACAUAGCUGGCAGGGGCUACAUCGGCCGACUCCAUCUCAUAGGUGAUGUCACGGAGCCAGUCAUCAGCAUCCAGAGGCUGAGUUGAGCUGCGGUACACAGUUGGGUUGAGGCGCAUGAAAUCCUGCAGAGUUACUGGGGUUGGUUGCUGGUCCAUAUUGGGGCGAGGAAACUGAGCCAUCAUAUUUUCCAUGAAUAGGCGGUUCAGUUCGAACUGUUGGAUCAUACCAGCCAUGUACUCAGGUGGUGGUGGGGCACUGCCACCACUACCACGACCACCUGGUCUAACCAUCCUGCUAAUAUAUAACAGGAGUAGUUCAGCAUUGAGAAAUUUGCAAAGACAAGAAUCAUUCAUGAUGAAACAUGCAUCAUGAAAGGAGCACGAUAGCUACUACAUAGUAGUCGGUAUAACUUACAAAAGGGGUCAUGCAUAGAGUUCAGUACACAGAGUUCAGUACAUAGACUAAAACAACAUAGGCGGCACACAGACUCGCGGCGAAUGCAUCUAACACUAACAAGCAAGCCUACAUCAGUCCCAGGAGGUACUGUGGAGGUAGGUGUAGCCUGAAAGCAGGUAGUGUCGCAUCGGGAACUCCACGUCAGCAACCUGGGGUCCGCGAAUACUCUGGUGCAGAAUCUGACGCUCAGGUGGCAGAAGAGGUCCAAGUGCGGGAGAGUGGCCUCCCACAUCUGGCCAGCCAACACCCAGGGGCAUCACAGUCCUGGCUGGGUAGAUCGCAGAAUGGGGCAGCUCCCUAGAUCGGACAAAGGGGUGCAACAGCGUCAGAGCACGGUAAAGGUGCUGACGGGUGGUGUACAACUCGUGGCGAAGAGCUCGGUUAGCUCGAUCCAGCCCAUCAGCAUGCAGAACUAGGUUCUGAUGGUAGAAGGGCUCUCGGGUGACAGUGGAGUAGGCAACAGUAUAGUAUCCCUCCGCACCAACAUAAGAUGCGAUAGCAAUGUGCCUGAAAGGGGAGGUGUCCAACUCUCGAUACUCUCCACGAAGACGUGUCAGAGCAGCAUAAGUAGCAUCGUGGACAGCCAUAUCGAUGGUCACUCCAACACCAUGAGCGGUGUGCGGCACAGUAGUGGAGUCAUACUCCCGCGAGUAGAGGUGGACGAUGGCACGGUACUGCUCCUGGUUAAAGUCCUGGUACUCCUCGUAGAAGGUGUACUCAGGGUGCCAGCGAUAACCCAGAUAGGUCAUCAUCUCAGCUAGCACAGAAGGUGAUCCCGAGGCACCAAUGGUCGUCGUGUGGCGCACGACCUGCCUCGUGGGUUCCAUCUGAAAGCAAAGAUGUUUCAAAGGAGUCAAAUGACAGUGUGUGAAUUGUUCAAAAUACUAUUCUAAGAAAUAACUAUGGCUUAUCCAACUUUGGGGUGAAUGCGGUCACGGGAUCCUAGUGUUAGAGUUAGUAAAUUCGUUUAACCCGAGUAGAAGAGAGUUCAGAGUCCCAGAGUAAAGGUCGAGGAGUGAAAGAUCCUAGUACCACCCAAUGGCGACGUGGGCCCGUAAGACACACAACCAUGUUAGUAAAAGUUUUGUAAUGUCUAGACUCAACUUCGGCCAAGGAGUGUGGAACGGGGGAUUCCUACAGGCAGUCGGCUCUGAUACCAACUUGUGACGCCCCCGAUUCAAUCGUACACUAAUCAUGCACGCAAACGUGUAUGAUCAAGAUCAGGGACUCACGGGAAGAUAUCACAACACAACUCUACAACAUAAAUAAGUCAUACAAGCAUCAUAAUACAAGCCAGGGGCCUCGAGGGCUCGAAUACAAGUGCUCGAUCAUAGACGAGUCAGCGGAAGCAACAAUAUCUGAGUACAGACAUAAGUUAAACAAGUUUGCCUUAAGAAGGCUAGCACAAACUGGGAUACAGAUCGAACGAGGCACAGGCCUCCUGCCUGGGAUCCUCCUAACUACUCCUGGUCGUCGUCAGCGGGCUGCACGUAGUAGUAGGCACCUCCAGUGUCGUAGGAGUCGUCGUCGACGGUGGCGUCUGGCUCCUGGACUCCAGCAUCUGGUCGCGACAACCAGGUAGAAAGGAAAGGGGGAAAAGAGGGAGAGAAGCAACCGUGAGUACUCAUCCAAAGUACUCGCAAGCAAGGAUCUACACUACAUAUGCAUGGGUAUAUGUGUAAAGGACCAUAUCAGUGGACUGAACUGCAGAAUGCCAGAAUAAGGGGGGGAUAGCUAGUCCUGUCGAAGACUACGCUUCUGGCAGCCUCCAUCUUGCAGCAUGUAGAAGAGAGUAGAUUGAAGUCCUCCAAGUAGCAUCGCAUAGGAUAAUCCUACCCGGCGAUCCCCUCCUCGUCGCCCUGUUAGAGAGCGAUCUCCGGCUUGUAUCUGGCACUUGGAAGGGUGUGUUUUAUUGAGUAUCUGGUUCUAGUUGUCAUAAGGUCAAGGUACAACUCCGGGUCGUCCUUUUACCGAGGGACACGGCUAUUCGAAUAGAUAAACUUCCCUGCAGGGAUGCACCACAUAACCCAACACGCUCGAUCCCAUUUGCCCGGACACACUUUUCUGGGUCAUGCCCGGCCGCGGAAGAUCAACACGUCGCAGCCCUACCUAGGCACAACAGAGAGGUCAGCACGCCAGUCUAAAUCCUAUGCGCGCAGGGGUCUGGGCCCAUCGCCCAUUGCACAACUGCACAUUGCGUACGCGGCCGGAAGCAGACCUAGCCUAGUGGCGUUCCAGUCCAAUCCGGCCCACGCCGCUCAUUCGCUGACGUCACGAAGGCUUCGGCUAAUACCACGACGUCGAGUGCCCAUAACUGUUCCCGCGUAGUUGGUUACUGCGUAUAGACCAAAUGGCCAGACUCAGAUCAAAUACCAAGAACUCGUUAAGCGUGUUAUUUUGAAGUAACCGCGAACGCCGUCCAGGGCCAGGCCCACCUCUCGCCUAGGUGGUCUCAACCUGCCCUGUCGCUCCGCCACAAAGAUCCACUUGCGGGUACUCCUUCGAGCCGACCCGACUUUAGUCACCACAGGUGUCAUGUAUAGAGUAUAUAAGUAUAUACCCGUGAUCACCGCCCAAGUGAUCCAGGCCCUAUAGUAUAGGACAGCAGAUGGACAAGAAUGUAGGGCCACUGAUGGAAAACUAGCAUCCUAUACUAAGCAUGUAGGAUUGCAGGUAAAGGUAACAACAGUAGUAGCAAGGACAGGCUAUGCAUCAGGAUAGGAUUAACGGAAAGCAGUAACAUGCUACACUAAUCUAAUGCAAGCAGUAUAGAGAAGAAUAGGCGAUAUCUGGUGAUCAAGGGGGGGGGCUUGCCUGAUUGCUCUGGCAAGAAGGAGGGUCGUCAACAGUGUAGUCGGUCGGGGCACCAGACGCGGCGUCGUUCUCGUAGUCUACCGGAGAGAAGAGGGGGAAGAAACAAUGAAUACAAUGUAAACAGAUGCAUGACGAUGCAUGGCAUGACAAAGUGUCAUGCUAGGUGUGCCCUAACGCGGCAAUAGGUGAUACCGGCGAAGAGGGGGAACAUCCGGGAAAGUAUUCCCGAUGUUUCGCGUUUUCGGACAGAUGGACCGGAGGUGAAAUGUUGCAGGUUCACUAUGCUAGGGAUGUGUGGUGAAUGAACGGGCUGCGUAUCCGGAUUCGUCUCGUCGUUCUGAGCAACUUUCAUGUAGAAAGUAUUUUCAUCCGAGUUACGGAUUAUUUUAUAUGAUUUUUCAAAGAUUAAACCAUUUUCUGGAAUUAUUUUUAUUAACAGAAAUCUAUUAAUGCGUCAGCAAUGCAUCAGCAUGAUGUCAGCAGUCAGCUGACCCGUUUGACCAGUCAAACUGACCAGUGGGUCCUACCUGUCAUAGACAGUGGACUAACAGAAGUUUAAACUAACUAAAUUUAGGUUAGUUAACUACUGGACCCCACCUGUCAGUGCCUCAUUUAUCUAACUAAUUGAUUUUAAUUAUAAAAUGUUUUACGUAAAAUAAUUAUGCGGUGGGGCCCGCAUGUCAGCGCCACUGGGCUGCCCAGUCAGCACAUUGACUAGGUCAACCCAGUCAACGGGGCCCAUGGGGCCCAUUGGCAGCGACCCAGGGGGUGGCCCCAGGUCGGCCACGUCGGACGCCGGCGUCGGAGUUGGCUCCGGUGAGCCAAAACGCGGCGGAGGGCGCCGGCGAACCUCGGGAUUUCGCCUCGGUGGGUCGUUUCGUGCGCGGCUACCCGCGUUCGAACGGGCGCACGCUUGCGCGUCGAACUGUGGGGGUGGCUUGGCCGGAAACGGCCGAAGACGGCGGUGGCGAGCGGUGGAGCGGACGCCGGAGUUCGGGCGUCGAUGGAUCUAGAGCUAGGGGGUAUGGGGAAGCACGGGCUCGUGCUCGUUGGGCUCCUGGGAGCACCAGGAACUCGACCGUGGGCUUGCGCGAGCGUGACGGCGGCUGUGGCCACGGCGGCGAGGCGAUCCGCGGCGACGGGCUCACGGCAACGACGACAAGGUAGCUACAGGGCGCGAGAGGUCAAUGAAGAGGAGCAAGGGAUGAAGAAGCUCACCGCGCGGCUCACACGUUGGCCCGUGACGGUUUAGGAGCGCAGAGGUGGCCGGAGACGACGGCGGUCACCGGUGACAGAGAAGAUGGGGACGAGCUCGAUCCCGACCGUGCGGUGCUCCUCGAGCUCGAUGGCGAGGCGUAGACGAGGUAGAGGACGACGGCGGAUGCCUACGGCAUGUCGGGGGUGCAGGGCGAUGACGGUGGUCGCGGGAACGACGGAGAACGGCGGCGAUGGCGCUCGGGUGAGGCGGGCGAGCGAGACAGAGAGGGGGCAAGCGUGUGGAUCUGGGAGGCACAGAGGCGAGCGAGAGGGGGGCAAGUGGGAGAGAUGGGUGGAGGCCGAGGCGUCGGGGCGGCCUUAUCCCCUCCCAGCGUCGGCGCCGGCGAGGUGGUCGGGCGGGGACGUGCCCCUGUUGUGACCCCGGUCGGGGGAACAGGGGGGGAAGGCGACCCGGGGAGGGUCUAGGCCGGCGGUAGGCCAGCUGGGCUAGGUGGGCCGGUCUGGCCUGCGAGCAAGGGCUGCCUGGUCCAGUGAGGGAGGGGGAUCUUUUUCUUUUCUUUUCUUUAUUUUUCUUUUCUGUUUUAUUUCACUUUAAAAUACUUAGGCACUUUCUAAAAAAAUAUUUUCUCCAAUAUAAUUACCAGUGCAAUAUUUGGCACCCACCGAACAUUUUUGUUUUGACUUUUGAAAACUUUGGGUGUUUUUCACUAAUUCAUCUUUUUGAAUUUGAAAUGUUUUGAACUAACAGUUGAUUAGCAACAGUAACAGAGAUGACAUGGCAUCAUCAGGAGAGUUUUACUGUAGCCUAAUUAUCCGGGCGUUACAAAUCUCCUCCACUACAAGAAAUCUCGUCCCGAGAUUUAGGAGGUAGAAGGAAACAGUGCGAGGUAUUCAUCACGCAGGCGAUCCUCGCGUUCCCAAGUGGCUUCAUCCUCAGAAUGGUGCGACCACUGGACUUUGAGGAACUUGAUCGCCUUCUGACGUGUGCGGCGUUCAGCUUGGUCGAGAAUGCGGACCGGAUGCUCAUUAUAGGAGUGGUCCUGCUGCAAUUCGAGCACUUCAUGAUCCACUGCUCGGAUUGGGUCCUUGAAGCAACGGCGGAGCUGUGACACAUGGAACACAUCGUGAACCUAAGAAAGGUUCGGCGGUAGCUCCAGUUGGUAUGCCACUUUUCCACGCCUUUCCAGAAUAGUGAAUGGGCCAAUAUAGCGAGGAGCUAGUUUGCCCUUGAUCCCGAAGCGGUGAGCACCCUUCAUUGGUGUGACUCGAAGAUAAGCCUUUUCGCCAGGUUGAUAGACCAUGUCUUUAUGAUAACGGUCAUACUGACUCUUCUGACGCGACUGCGCAGUCUUGAGAUUCUCACAAAUAAUGCGGACUUGUUCUUCGGCGUGUUGGAUAAUAUCCGGACCAAAGAGUGGACGUUCCCCAGUUUCUGACCAGUUCAGAGGGGUUCGGCACUUUCGUCCAUAUAACACUUCGAAGGGGGCCAUCUUCAGACUAGCUUGAUAGCUAUUAUUAUAAGAGAACUCAGCAUAUGGGAGAGAUUCCUCCCAUUUCUUGUCGAAGGAAAUAACACAAGCUCGAAGCAUGUCUUCAAGAACUUGGUUGACGCGUUCAACUUGCCCUUGCGACUGAGGAUGAAAUGCAGUACUGAAUGAUAGAUGAGUUCCCAUAGCUUCUUGGAAACUUGCCCAGAAUCUUGAAGUGAAUAAGCUGCCACGGUCUGAACUGAUUACCAAUGGAAUACCGUGAAGUGAGACAAUUCUGGACAUGUAGAGAGUUGCCAGCUGACUAGCAGUGAUCGUUUCUUUGACCGCCUGGAAAGCCGGUCAAUGACGACAAGAAUAGCAUCAUUACCCUUCUGUGAUUUGCGAAAUCCAGUGACGAAGUCCAUCUCGACAUGGUCCCAUUUCCAUUCAGGAAUAGAGAUAGGUUGCAGAGUUCCAGCAGGCCUUUGGUGUUCUGCUUUGAUACGACGGCAAACGUCACACUCAGCAAUAUAACGAGCAAUGUCUUGCUUCAUAUUAGACCACCAGAAUCUCUGACGGAUGUCUUGGUACAUCUUUGUACUACCAGGAUGGAUACAUAGAGGCGUAUCAUGAGCUUCUUUCAUAACUUCCUGUGUCAUAUCCAGGUUUUUCUCUGCACAUGGCACCACUAGGCGGCCCUUGAAGUACAAAGUGCCAUCAUCAGCAAUAGUGAAGAAUGAGGGCUUUCCUUCUGCGAGGUAGCGCUUAAUCUUGUGGGCUUCAGAGUCAUAUCCCUGUAUUCUCUUGAUGGAGUCCAAGAGAUCUGGUUCAACAGCCAGGGUAUUGAGCGAACCCUGGGAAACAACCCGGAGGUUCAUCUUGCCAGGGUAUCAGCAAGACUAAAAAUGUUGACCGGUCCCUCCACAAUUUGUAAUCCAAUGGGGAUUUAAUAGAUGUUUAGAUCUAGCCAGCCGCUCAUUUCCUUCGUCAUGCAAAAGAGAUGCUCAUAUCUAGCUAGAUUCCUAGGAGUUUUGAUGCCAUUCUUAUUUUGAGUGGUACCUUGGGUCUGCACAGGUAUGACAGAUGCGCAUACAAUGAGCAUACCAAAGAAAUAACUGUGACGGACAAAAUAAAUUAUGAACAGACAUCUUCAGAGACUAACCUUGGGUCUAGCUGCUUGUCAACAAAAGGAUCAAUGGAGAUGACUUGGUUAAAAGAUGUGCCGACAACCUGCAUACAAUGAUUUACAGAGAAGGAGAUGAGUAAGGUUUGUUUGCUUAAUUAGGACUCUGCAUCAACAAAUCACGUGAAGCAUUCUCAAUGAACAAUAAUUUACAUAUCCACCAAGAUAAAAUUCGCAGUUAGCAAAUAUGUUGAUAAUAUAAAUCUGCACCACAAUGAAAUCCCCAAGGCAUCUAAUACUUCAAUCUUUCAAGAACGACUUUUCAACAAAUGAAUCUUAGACACUUAGUGAAGCUCCAAAUGAGAAUCCAUCAGAAUUAUUUUGAGAUGCCUUAUUCAGUUAACCAAACAAAGCAUGUUCAUCUUAAUAAAAAGGCAGGAGAAGCGUCAUACCACUAUCCGUGAAUUGCAUGUAGAACUUGAUCGUGGAGGUGGGUUGGGGCUCUUUGGUGCUAGCUCUUCCAUUUUCAGAUAAAGUUGCUUGUUCUUCUCCGGGUCUCCUGCCAUAAAUCGUGGAUGGACUUUCUAAAAAUCAAUUAUACAUAUGGAUUAAGCCUACAUUAGAGGCUGCAGCAGCAGCAUACAAACCUACAAAUAAUCAGACCUAGAACAAUAAUAGCAUUUAAAGUAACACCACACUCUUUCUGUGGAGGGAGGAAUAGCAACAUCAAGCAGUGUAGGGAAGUAAUUGGUAGGGAGGAGCAAGAAGAAACCUUACUGCUUGGGGACGCCAUUGACAGAUGAGGAGCAGGCGAGCUUCAGUUGCUUCGGGAGGCAGCCAUAGCACCGCAGCGGAGACAACAACAUUGAGAGGAGGGAGGCGACGCACAUCAGCUUGGGGAGGUGGCAGAGAUGGUGCAGGUCGGCGCAGUAAGAGGACAACUGGCGGCGGCUUCUCGUCCACCGUUGCAUGUCGCCCCUCCACAACUUGAGCACGAGGGAGGGCCGGUGGAGAUCACAUGGAUAGGAGGAGGGAGGAACAGCGGCGGCGAACUCGGUGGCUGGAGAGGAACGGGGAGGAGAGGAGGCCGGCGGCGGGUAGCGGCUCAACCUCCUCAUCCACUCCUACGGUUUGGGAGGGGAACCCUAGCCGCCUUGGCAUGCUGCUGCUGCUCCCCGCCGCCGCUGCCGCCGUCGCGCUCCUCGUCCUCCCUCCGCUGCUGCUCGUCGUCGUUGGGAGGGGGGCUCUGUUGCGGCGGAUCUGGCCGCCGACGGCGCCGUUCGAGGCGGUGGGUGGCGGCGGCAGCGAUGUGGGUGGAAGGAGAGGAGGCGCGUGGGAGUGGAGGGGAGAGGACGCGCGCGGGAGGAGAGAGGAGGCGGCGGCUAGGGUUCAACACAGAGCGGCUGCCCUUUAUAAACCUACACGUGAAAUGACCAAAAUGCCCUCGGCGGGGCAAGAAAAUUACAGGCGGUGGCAGGAACGAGACGGUAACUAUUCAUUGUAGCAGUAACUUUUUUCGAUCCAACAGCCAAGGUCUUCCACGAGCGAGAUCCGACGGUCCUAAACGCAUCAAGUGAACGAUCUGACGAUCGACAGUCGCUGAGCUCUGAGAAGCCUCGUUUUUUAGAAAAGGAGGAUGACCCCCGGCCUCUGCAUCUGGGUGAUGCAUACGGCCACUUUAUUAAUUAUUCUCACAAGACCUUACAAAGUAAUACCACAGUAAGACUAAAGCCGCCGUCUAAGCAACAAACUGUCGCUACACCUAUCCAGUUGAUGAAGGGGCGCAAAUAGCCUGGGCCUAAUACCAAAUGGACAUCGCAGCCAAACCUAACAUCUAAGACCUGAGGACCCAUCCAGGACGCCUGCCGGGCAUGGAUCUCGCCGGUCCGGCGUGCUCUCAGAGGCCACCGCCGCCAACUGCCACCGCUCCAUCUUCAGAAUUGUACUGAUGCAUCAACCUUGGUCGGUCUAGCUAUCGUCGACGCCACCACGGCGCCCAACGGCACCUCCUUCCUGCGCGCAAACAGUUGUGCACGUCGCGGUCGCCAUUGAUACACCUCAGCACCAUGCUGUCAAGUACCACCAGCCGACACAGCUUGAAGUCUUUGGAAGAUCUGUCGUGCGUAGCACCUGCCGACCAGGCAUGACAAAGCGUAGCACCUGUCGGUCAGGCAUGACUUGACAUCUUCACCGAAGCUCCGUGCAAGACGAAGCCGCUCCACCUCUUGCUUCUGACUUCCAGCGCUGCUCCACAAACGAUGCUCCCAAGAGAGAAACGACGCCGCAGUGCCGCCAUCGUCCGAUCUGGAACACCAGAUCCUAGGAUUUCCCCCAGAGCAGCACGAGUGGGUCGACAGUAGUUACACGACAAUGCCUCCAUCAAGGUAACGGCGUAGAACGCCGCCAUCGCCUGCCAAUGGCUCGGUUUUCACCGGCAACCAUGUCUCCCCAACUCGCAGCCGGGACUAGAUGAUGAAUCUCGAGAUCCGGUCACCAAGCCUCUGGCCGGCCAUCUUUGGCGACGAAGAUGACCACCACCAUUGGCCAACGAGAAGCCUCAUGUUCUCCCUAGAUACUUAUAUUAGGAUGUCAGGAUUUGUGUCUGCAUGCGCACGCACACACGCACAAAAAGGACGAACAAUUAGUACGUGUGUUCCAUGUGAAAGAAAGAAUGAAGCAUCACGUAGUAGAAAUAGUACUCUACAUACCCUUGGCGUUGCAGGAUAAGGGAGGCCGGCAUGACUAGAAGAGCUACGGCCAAGCUCAGAAACUGCGUGUUGUUCCUGGCAUGUGCCAUGGCGAAUGACUGGCUAGGUAAUUAAUCCUCUUCUCUAGACGGUGUUGUCUUUUGGUCCAUGGAUGCUUUUAAUGUUUUAUUCGAAUUUUUUUAUUAUUUUCUUUGCCUUCUUUAAAUGUGUGAAAUUAUUUUCAAAAUCAAUGUAUUUUUUUAUUUUUGCGCCUUUUUAGAAAAAACGAUGAACCUUUUCAAAUUUAUGAAAAAAAUUGGAAAUGUGUGAACUCCUAAAAAACGAUGAACUUCAAAUUUGAUGAACUUUUUGAAAAUUCAUGUACAUUUUUAAUUCAUGAUUUGUCUUUAUUUUUUUACCAAAAAAUGUUUUAAUUUUUUAAAGUCAAUGGUUGACCGGUCAAGCUUGACCAGUCAGCAGCGAACCCAACGACCAGUCAACAACCGAACCGAUCUGACUAAGCCAGCGAGCGUGUGUUUGGAUCAGGCCCAAGAGUGUGGCUGCGUGCUCCACCUCGGCGAAGGGGCGCCUGAAGCGUCGUCUAAGAGCUCCCGCGCCCUUCGGCUGAUGCCCUCUCUUCCACUCAAUUUACAUACGGGCCAACGCUUUAGGCUUUGGUCUGGGCUUUUUUCUGUCGUCAUCCCGUCGUCCACGGCCCAGCAAGCCCAGGCUACUUCUCGUGCUUUCUUCUUCUUUCAAGUUCUGCACUGAUUCACGGUGGGUGUGACAGAAACUACUCAUAUUUAUUCUUUCUUUUUUGCGGGGAAAUCAUGUUUAUUCCACGAACAGUCAUGAUGAACUGCUUUGGUUAUUACAAUGGGAUGAGAUGAACACACACACAAACAGCUACAGAAUGUGAAAGAACAAAUAAUUACUACGUGUGUGUUCCAUGUGAAAGAAAGAAUGGAAGAAUGAAGCAUCACGUAUUAAGAAAUACUACUCUACAUACCCUUGGCUUUGCAGGAGAGGGAGACCGACAUGACGAGAAGAGACUGCCAAGCACAGAAACUGUGUGUUGUUCGUGGCAUGUGCCAAUGAGUACCUAGCUAAUUCAUCCUCUUCUUCUAGACGGUAUUUGUCUUUUUGGUCGAUGGAUGCUUUGUGUGUUUAAUUCAGUUUUUCUUGUUAUUUUCUUUCCGUUCUUUCAAUGUGUGAAAUUCUUUUCAAAAUCGAUAUAUUUUUUUAUUUUUGCGCUUUUUAAAAACACAUCUCCAUAAAAUUUUAUGAGCUUUUUUGUAAAUUUGUGAACUUUUUUAAAAAACAAAGAACAUCUUGAAAUUUUAUAAACUUUAUUGAAAAUUCAGUACAUUUUUUAAUUCACGGUUUUUUUAUUUUUUACAAAAAACGUUUUAAAUUUUUUUAAAUCAAUGGUUGCCCGGUCAACCGUGACCAGUCAGCAGUGAACACAACGACUAGUCAAUAACCGAAGCAACCUGACGGAGUCAGCGAGUGUGUGUUUGGGUCAGGCCCAAGAGUGUGGCUGUGUGCGCCACCUCGGCGAAGGGGCGCCAGAAGCGUCGUCUAGGAGCUCCCGCGCCCUUCGGCUGCUGCCCUCUCUUUCUUAGUUUAAGUACAGGCCAACACUUUAGGCUUUGGUCUGGGAUUUUUCUGUCGCGAUUCCAUCAUCCACGGCCCAGCAAGCCCAGGCUACUUCUGGUGCUUUCUUUUUCUUUCCUGCUCUGCACUGAGUCAUGGUCGUUGUGAUAGAAACUACUCUUCUUUUAGGGGUUAUCUUUAUUCCACGAACAAUCAUGAUGAAAUGCUUUGGUUAUUACAGUGGGAUGAGACCAACACACACACACACAAACAGCUAUAGCUUUCUAAGUAGCACAUAACAAACAUCAUCAUCCAGAUAUCACUUCAAAGUCAUCGAAUUGAGAUUACUUAUGGCACUCUGUUUUGCUCCGUUUGCGAGCUGUAAGACCUUUAUGAUGAUAUUUUCUGGUUUUUUAAUAAAAGGGCCGCAUGCAUCAUCAUGAUGCAGAGGCCGGGGGUAUACCUUCAUUUCCAAAAAAACAACAAUACGGUUAGGGGUGGUGCUCACAAUAGCUCGUGAGGUAGUCGUAGCCUUUGCUUACGCAGAAGUUUCGGCACUUGUGCUGGUCAUAACCAUGCACCGGUCUCUUGCAUUCCCACAUAGAUUCAUGGUAUAUGUCAGGAUUUGUGUCUGCAUGCGCACGCACACACGCACAAAAAGGACGAACAAUUAGUACGUGUGUUCCAUGUGAAAGAAAGAAUGAAGCAUCACGUAGUAGAAAUAGUACUCUACAUACCCUUGGCGUUGCAGGAUAAGGGAGGCCAGCAUGACUAGAAGAGCUACGGCCAAGCACAGAAACUGCGUGUUGUUCCUGGCAUGUGCCAUGGCGAAUGACUGGCUAGUUAAUUAAUCCUCUUCCUCUAGACGGUGUUGUCUUUUGGUCCAUGGAUGCUUUUAAUGUUUUAUUCGAAUUUUUUUAUUAUUUUCUUUGCCUUCUUCAAAUGUGUGAAUUAUUUUCAAAAUCAAUGUAUUUUUUUAUUUCUGCGCCUUUUUUGAAAAAAUGAAGAACCUUUUCAAAUUUAUGAAUUUUUUUUGGAAAUGUGUGAACUCCUAAAAAACGAUGAACUUAAAAUUUGAUGAACUUUUUAAAAAUUCAUGUACAUUUUUAAUUUAUGAUUUUUAUAUUUUUUUACCAAAAAAUGUUUUAAUUUUUUAAAGUCAAUGGUUGACCGGUCAAGCUUGACCAGUCAGCAGCGAACCCAACGACCAGUCAACAACCGAACCGACCUGACUGAGCCAGCGAGCGUGUGUUUGGAUCGGGCCCAAGAGUGUGGCUGCGUGGUCCACCUCGGCGAAGGGGCGCCUAAAGCGUCGUCUAGGAGCUCCCGCGCCCUUCGGCUGAUGCCCUCUCUUCCACUCAAUUUACAUAUGGGCCAACACUUUAGGCUUUGGUCUGGGCUUUUUUCUGUCGCCAUCCCGUCGUCCACGGCCCAACAAGCCCAGGCUACUUCUCGUGCUUUCUUCUUCUUUCAAGUUCUGCACUGAGUCACGGUGCGUGUGACAGAAACUACUCAUAAUUAUUCUUUCUUUUUUGCAGGGAAAUCAUUCUUAUUCCAUGAACAGUCAUGAUGAAUUGCUUUGGUUAUUACAAUGGGAUGAGAUGAACACACACACACACAAACAGCUACAGCUUUUGUAUGUAGCACAUGACAAGCAUCAUCAUCCAGAUAUCACCCAAAGUCAUCGAAUUGAGAUUACUUAUGGCAACAGCAGUACAGGUAGGGGUGGUGCUCACAAUAGCUUAGCUCCUAAGGUAGUCGUAGCCCAUGCUUACGCAGAAGUUUCGGCACUUGUGCUGGUCAUAAUCAUGAACUGGUCUGUUGCAUUCCCACAUAGAUUGACAGUAUAUGUUAGUUUCCGUGUUGUUCCUUGCACAAUAUACUUUGUUGCAGUUGCGCAUGCCAUAAUCAUCCAUCGGUCUCUUGCAUUUCGACACAGAUUCACUGUAUGUGUUAGGAUCUGUGUCUGCAUGCGCACACGC
RNAcentral lists this long non-coding RNA (25319 nucleotides) under Triticum aestivum (bread wheat). RNAcentral describes it as "long non-coding RNA (TAES_LNC013040)". The record is from RNAcentral. Lineage: Eukaryota; Viridiplantae; Streptophyta; Magnoliopsida; Poales; Poaceae.